GCGUCAGUAGCUAAACCGGAUAAAGCACCUGCCUCUUAAGCAGGGGAUUGUAAGUUCGACUCUUACCUGACGCACCA
Molecule: transfer RNA, 77 nt
Filed under: Acidobacteriota bacterium
Lineage: Bacteria; Pseudomonadati; Acidobacteriota
Description: tRNA-Lys
Rfam family: tRNA
About the family: Transfer RNA (tRNA) molecules are approximately 80 nucleotides in length.
Source: RNAcentral